CCUACGGGAGGCUGCAGUAGGGAAUAUUGCUCAAUGGGGGAAACCCUGAAGCAGCAACGCCGCGUGGAGGAUGAAGGUUUUCGGAUUGUUAACCCCUUUUGUUAGAGAAGAUAAUGCCGGUAUCUAACGAAUAAGCACCGGCUAACUCCGUGCCAGCAGCCGGGGUAAUACGGGGGGUGCAAGCGUUACUCGGAAUCACUGGGCGUAAAGGGCGUGUAGGCGGGAUAGCAAGUCAGAUGUGAAAUCCUAUGGCUUAACCAUAGAACUGCAUUUGAAACUGGUAUUCUAGAGUUGGAGAGAGGUAGGUGGAAUGCUUGGUGUAGGGGUGAAAUGCAUAGAGAUCAAGAAGAACACCGAUUGCGAAGGCAGCCUGCGGGAUCCAAACUGACGCUGAUGCGCGAAAGCGUGGGGAUCGAACAGGAUUAGAUACCCGAGUAGUC
Molecule: ribosomal RNA, 440 nt
Filed under: uncultured bacterium
Lineage: Bacteria
Description: partial 16S ribosomal RNA
Rfam family: Bacterial small subunit ribosomal RNA
Source: RNAcentral